This 253-nucleotide ribosomal RNA is filed under the name uncultured bacterium. RNAcentral's name for it is "partial 16S ribosomal RNA". It matches the Rfam family "Bacterial small subunit ribosomal RNA", at positions 524 to 776 of the family's 1533-position model. The record is from RNAcentral.
UACGGGGGGGGCAAGCGUUGUUCGGAAUUACUGGGCGUAAAGGGUGCGUAGGCGGGUCUUUAAGUCAGGGGGGAAAUCCUGGAGCUCAACUCCAGAACUGCCUUUGAUACUGAAGAUCUUGAGUUCGGGAGAGGUGAGUGGAACUGCGAGUGUAGAGGUGAAAUUCGUAGAUAUUCGCAAGAACACCAGUGGCGAAGGCGGCUCACUGGCCCGAUACUGACGCUGAGGCACGAAAGCGUGGGGAGCAAACAGG